This 408-nucleotide long non-coding RNA is filed under the name Dasypus novemcinctus (nine-banded armadillo). RNAcentral describes it as "lncRNA (ENSDNOG00000050887.1)". The record is from RNAcentral. Lineage: Eukaryota; Metazoa; Chordata; Mammalia; Cingulata; Dasypodidae.
CAGAAGAAAAGUACAGAAAGAUUUAUUACCUAUAAGCCUCGUGAAUGCACCUGGGAUUCAAAGCUAAUUUUACCAAAAGACCCCUGGCCCAUUACAUUUGCUUCCUACACAAGACAUAGAAAACAAUGUAACGUGUACAGUGCAUUUAUGGAUCGUGUGGAAGAAAAAUUUACCCAAACAUGCAAGAACAGCCAAAUGCAGGCUCCAGCUCCAAAGAAAAUGACAUGACAGUCCAUCACCGACAGUGUCUUAAAGCCAGUACAGAAAAUCCUAACAUUGUUAACUGUAGCACUAUGACUUCAGGGCCUUCAGCCUCAGCCAGAACCAAUCCUUCCUGGAUGUUACGGGAAGCAUCUUCUAUUAACCAAAAGGCAAAUCUACCUCAAUGUCUCUCAAGUUUCACAAAAU